RNAcentral lists this unclassified non-coding RNA (342 nucleotides) under soil metagenome. Its description in RNAcentral is "partial contains 5.8S ribosomal RNA, internal transcribed spacer 2, and large subunit ribosomal RNA". The stretch from base 1 to 120 matches the Rfam family "5.8S ribosomal RNA", at positions 35 to 154 of the family's 154-position model. The record is from RNAcentral.
GAUGAAGAACGUAGCAAAAUGCGAUAAGUAAUGUGAAUUGCAGAAUUCAGUGAAUCAUCGAAUCUUUGAACGCACAUUGCGCCCGCCAGCACUCUGGCGGGCAUGCCUGUUCGAGCGUCAUUUCAACCAUCAAGCCCCCAGGGGCUUGUGCUGGGGCCCUGCGGCUGCCCGCAGGCCCUGAAAACCAGUGGCGGGCUCGCUAGUCACACCGAGCGCAGUAGCACAUCUCGCUCAGGGCGUGCGGCGGGCUCCUGCCGUGAAACCCCCCACUGUAACCCCAAAGGUUGACCUCGGAUCAGGUAGGAAUACCCGCUGAACUUAAGCAUAUCAAUAAGCGGAGGA